Molecule: ribosomal RNA, 450 nt
Filed under: uncultured bacterium
Lineage: Bacteria
Description: partial 16S ribosomal RNA
Rfam family: Bacterial small subunit ribosomal RNA
Source: RNAcentral
GUGGGGAAUCUUCCACAAUGGACGAAAGUCUGAUGGAGCAACGCCGCGUGAGUGAAGAAGAGUUUCGGCUCGUAAAGCUCUGUUGUCGGGGACGAAUGUGCAGUAUUUGAAUAAAGUACUGCAAUGACGGUACCUGACGAGGAAGCCACGGCUAACUACGUGCCAGCAGCCGCGGUAAUACGUAGGUGGCAAGCGUUGUCCGGAAUUAUUGGGCGUAAAGGGAGCGCAGGCGGGAAGGUAAGUCGGUCUUAAAAGUGCGGGGCUCAACCCCGUGAUGGGAUCGAAACUAUCUUUCUUGAGUGCAGGAGAGGAAAGUGGAAUUCCUAGUGUAGCGGUGAAAUGCGUAGAUAUUAGGAGGAACACCAGUGGCGAAGGCGACUUUCUGGACGAUGUCUGACGCUGAGGCGCGAAAGCUAGGGGAGCGAACGGGAUUAGAAACCCCGGUAGUCC